GUGGCUAACCUGCCCUCGAGACGGAAACAACCCCGGGAAACUGGGGCUAAUUUCCGAUAGGCGAAGAGCUCUGGAAUGAGCCUUCACCCAAACAGCAACCAGGCUAUGCUUCUGGUUGUCGCUCGAGGAUGGGGCCGCGACCGAUCAGGUUGUUGGUGAGGCAACGGCUCACCAAGCCUAUAACCGGUGCGGGCCGUGGGAGCGGGAGCCCGGAGAUGGGCACUGAGACAAGGGCCCAGGCCCUACGGGGCGCAGCAGUCGCGCAAACUUUGCAAUACACGAAAGUGUGACAGGGCUAUCCCGAGUGCCGUCCGCUGAGGAUGGCUUUUACCCAGUCUAGAACGCUGGGGGAAUAAGGAGAGGGCAAGUCUGGUGUCAGCCGCCGCGGUAAUACCAGCUCUCCGAGUGGUGUGGAUGUUUAUUGGGCCUAAAGCAUCCGUAGCUGGCCAAGUCAGUCCCUUGUUAAACCCACCGAAUUAAUCGUUGGAUUGCGGGGGAUACUACUCGGCUAGGGGACGAGAGAGGCAGACGGUAUUUUCGGGGUAGGGGUGAAAUCCUAUAAUCCCGAGAAGACCACCAGUGGCGAAGGCUGUCUGCUAGAACGCGCCCGACGGUGAGGGAUGAAAGCUGGGGGAGCGAACCGGAUUAGAUACCCGGGUAGUCCCAGCUGUAAACGAUGCAGGCUAGGUGUUUGGACGGCCACGUGCCGUUCUAGUGCCGCAGGGAAGCUGUUAAGCCUGCCGCCUGGGGAGUACGGUCGCAAGAUUGAAACUUAAAGGAAUUGGCGGGGGAGCACCACAAGGGGUGAAGCUUGCGGUUUAAUUGGUCAACGCCGGAAAUCUCACCGGGAGCGACAGCAGUUUGAAGGCCAGAUUAAAGGUCUUGCCAGACGAGCUGAGAGGAGGUGCAUGGCCGUCGCCAGUUCGUGCCGUGAGGUGUCCUGUUAAGUCAGGCAACGAUCGAGACCCGCGUCCUCUGUUGCUACCAGCUUUGAGCUGGGCACACUGAGGAGACCGCCACUGAUAAAGUGGAGGAAGGAGCGGGCCACGGCAGGUCAGUAUGCCCCGAAUCUCCCGGGCCACACGCGAGCUGCAAUGGCAGGUACAAUGGGUCCCGACCUCGAAAGGGGAAGGCAAUCUCGAAAGCCUGCCGUAGUUGGGAUUGAGGGUUGUAACCCAUCCUCAUGAACAUGGAAUCCCUAGUAAUCGCGUGUCAUC
This 1217-nucleotide ribosomal RNA is filed under the name metagenome. RNAcentral describes it as "bacterial SSU rRNA". It matches the Rfam family "Archaeal small subunit ribosomal RNA", at positions 100 to 1309 of the family's 1478-position model. The record is from RNAcentral.